RNAcentral lists this ribosomal RNA (503 nucleotides) under uncultured bacterium. Its description in RNAcentral is "partial 16S ribosomal RNA". It matches the Rfam family "Bacterial small subunit ribosomal RNA", at positions 30 to 523 of the family's 1533-position model. The record is from RNAcentral.
AUUGAACGCUGGCGGCAGGCUUAACACAUGCAAGUCGAGCGGGGUGAUGGUGCUGGCACUAUCACUUAGCGGCGGACGGGUGAGUAAUGCUUAGGAAUCUGCCUAUUAGUGGGGGACAACAUCUCGAAAGGGAUGCUAAUACCGCAUACGUCCUACGGGAGAAAGCAGGGGAUCACUUGUGACCUUGCGCUAAUAGAUGAGCCUAAGUCGGAUUAGCUAGUUGGUGGGGUAAAGGCCUACCAAGGCGACGAUCUGUAGCGGGUCUGAGAGGAUGAUCCGCCACACUGGGACUGGAACACGGCCCAGACGCCUACGGGAGGCAGCAGUGGGGAAUAUUGGACAAUGGGGGGAACCCUGAUCCAGCCAUGCCGCGUGUGUGAAGAAGGCCUUAUGGUUGUAAAGCACUUUAAGCGAGGAGGAGGCUCUUUUGGUUAAUACCCAGAAUGAGUGGACGUUACUCGCAGAAUAAGUACCGGCUAACUCUGUGCCAGCCGCCGCCGUAA